This is a non-coding RNA of Pantoea stewartii subsp. stewartii DC283, 121 nucleotides long. Lineage: Bacteria; Pseudomonadati; Pseudomonadota; Gammaproteobacteria; Enterobacterales; Erwiniaceae. The record is from Rfam.
ACAAUACUACGUCCCUGGACGGUGCAAAGUAAACGAUGACCCGCAGGGAACUCUGGGGUAAAAUACGUAUCAAAUUGCAAAACCUUUUCUGGCCUGGAACAUUUCCGGGUCAGUCUUCUUU